CGUUACCUGAUAUUCUGUGGUUUACCUUUUGUUUGAAAUGACCUUAAAAUUACACUUCCUGUUUGGUUUAAGUUAACUUUAUAACAAUAAUCGGUUAUGCGUUAUAUUGAUAUUAUGGACAGAAACGACAACAGCAUUUAAGUUCAGUAUCGCUGUUGUUAGACAUCUGUCAUAUAGACCGGAGAGUAUGGCUGCGGGAAACAACGGCGAAAAAAAGGCAAAGGAUGAGUUUAUAUCCAUAGAAGUCUUAGAAGCCGAGUUUAAUAGUUUUGCCGUAAAGAUAAAAAAUGAAUUGCAGAAAGCACAUACUAG
Long non-coding RNA from Mercenaria mercenaria, 312 nucleotides. RefSeq lists it as uncharacterized. The record is from RefSeq and is a predicted model, not a curated record. The transcript has 4 exons. Lineage: Eukaryota; Metazoa; Mollusca; Bivalvia; Venerida; Veneridae.